UACGAAGGGUGCAAGCGUUACUCGGAAUUACUGGGCGUAAAGCGUGCGUAGGUGGUCGUUUAAGUCCGUUGUGAAAGCCCUGGGCUCAACCUGGGAACUGCAGUGGAUACUGGACGACUAGAAUGUGGUAGAGGGUAGCGGAAUUCCUGGUGUAGCAGUGAAAUGCGUAGAGAUCAGGAGGAACAUCCAUGGCGAAGGCAGCUACCUGGACCAACAUUGACACUGAGGCACGAAAGCGUGGGGAGCAAACAGG
This 253-nucleotide ribosomal RNA is filed under the name uncultured bacterium. Its description in RNAcentral is "partial 16S ribosomal RNA". It matches the Rfam family "Bacterial small subunit ribosomal RNA", at positions 524 to 776 of the family's 1533-position model. The record is from RNAcentral.